GAGAACAAAUAAGGAACUGCAACAUCACCUCGUUCAAGAGUAAAGCUGUGGAAAGUCAACAAGAUCAACUAUCUCCAAAACCAGAUUUGCGUUCUUAAACUCUACUCUGUCUGGUUUUUACUUUGCCAUAUUUGUCAUGUUUAUUUGUCGUUUAUUAUUUGCUUGUUUUUGGUGUGAGUAUAUGCUUGAAACAUUGAGGACAAUGUUUGAUUUAAGUGUGGGGGGGUAACCAUUGUUUUGCAUGAAAUUCGUAGAAAUUUAUCACCUAUUACUUCUAGUGUUGUUCCUUGUUGUUUUAAGUAUUUUUUUUAAGCUGUUUUGGAGUGUUUCAAUGUGUUUUGACAUAAAAAAUCCGAAAAUUCAUAAAAAUUUGAAAAAAUUGUUUUUUGAAAAUCCAAAAAAAAGAGUUGUUUUUUUGUGCGCUUAUUUGUGUCUUAGGGUACCUUCCAACACAAUGAUGAGGAUUCGGUUUGUAAUUGCAUGACUGUUAAAGAGAGUUAUAAACAUGGAUGAAAGUUUGAUUUACUCUUUAUUUAUGCGUGGUUGUGGUUAUAACUUAUGAAAUCACAUGUAAUCAUAAAAGAAAAAAAUUAGUUUUUGUAACAUGCUUGAAGGAAAGAACUCAAACUAACGCUACAACCUUGUGAGACUUGAGCUUAAACGUUUAUUUGGAGAGUUAAAAUCUGUGCAUUCUUGUUUUCUAAAGUCAUUGCAUGAUCUCAUUAUUCUUUGCUUGGCUAUUACUUAGAAGGCGUUUCAUCAUUUAGUUCCAAAUGCUAGAACUCAUGCCUAUUUCAUUCAAAGCAUGCUAUUGAUUUGCAUAAAACAUAUUCAAGAUGAAGUUGUGUAGUUACCACCACCAAAGCCAAACUGCCAUGUAUCCCAUAUCGUUAUAUGUUUAAGUUAACCCCAUUGAGCCUUGAUAGCCUACAUUCUUUGUUAAACCACAUUAUCCUUACCUAGCCUAGUUUAGGAUCAUCCAUACCCUUGUUCUUGAAGCAUAGUAAAACAUGAUUCAAAUUGAAUUUCUUUUGAUUAAUGUAUGGCAGAGAAAACAAGUGUGGGGGAAGUGUGAGUUAUUAUGCUUGUUGAAAAGAAAAGAAGAGUUGAGAAAAAAAAAAAAAAAAAAAAAAAAAAAGUUUUAAAGUGCUGCUUGUUGAAGAAAGAGUCCAAAACAUAGAAUUCGGCCCUAAUUAUUGCCUGAAUUUUCCCUUCGUGUCUAAAAGCUGAUUUCUGCAAUCUAAGUGAAUUCUCUAAGUUUCAAUUUCAUUACUUUACUUGCUAUUGCUUUAAGAACGAUUGUUAUCCUUAUCCUUCAUUUGUUAGCCAUCACCCCAAGCCCCGUUUACAACCCUUAACUUCAUCUUGAGUGUCAUGCGUUUCAAUAUGUGGAGUUUGAAUUUGGUAUGAGCAUAUGGUGUCACUGGUUCUCGCAUCUAAGUAGUAGCAUUCCAUUCAUGAGAUCAUAUCUAAACAUGCUUAUUAACUCCAGAAAUUGCUUUCUUUGUGAUACAUAUAUGUGAGCGUUCGUUUUUCAUAUCUACAUCAAUCUUCUCACAUAUAACUAGUAUAGGGUGUGUAGUUAGAAAAUCUGAGUGAAAAUUGAGUUCAUAUCUUGUAAGGAAUUGAGUGAUUUCUCUAAGGCAUGUUACUACAUCAAAAACAUUGUUUUAAUUGAUUAAUUGUGAACUAGUAAGUGGUGACUAUGAUUAAGUAUGUGCUUAAGUGUAAAGAUGACUCAAAUCUGUGGGGAUAAUGAUUUUUAACAUGUCAUGUGCAUUGGAAAUCCCUGAGGCAAAUGUUGGAAGGUUUAGGUUGUGUUUUAUUUGUUUUGUUUCGUUUUAUCUCUUUGUUUUGCUCGAGGACUAGCAAAAGCUAAGUGUGGGGGAAUUUGAUAGGAGCAUAUUUAUGCGACUUAGUUGGCUUGUUCUUGUGCAUUUAUGUCGUGUUUCCUUAGUUAUUUUAAUGUUUAAAGUCAUUUUCGU
Molecule: long non-coding RNA, 1985 nt
Filed under: Malus domestica (apple)
Lineage: Eukaryota; Viridiplantae; Streptophyta; Magnoliopsida; Rosales; Rosaceae
Description: long non-coding RNA (MDOM_LNC017897)
Source: RNAcentral